This 51-nucleotide ribosomal RNA is filed under the name Erythrobasidium hasegawianum. RNAcentral describes it as "5.8S ribosomal RNA". Lineage: Eukaryota; Fungi; Basidiomycota; Cystobasidiomycetes; Erythrobasidiales; Erythrobasidiaceae. The record is from RNAcentral.
UUAACUAGAGAUCGGCUCGGCUGAAAUAUACGAGUAACCCAGUUUGAACAU